RNAcentral lists this ribosomal RNA (440 nucleotides) under uncultured bacterium. Its description in RNAcentral is "partial 16S ribosomal RNA". It matches the Rfam family "Bacterial small subunit ribosomal RNA", at positions 338 to 795 of the family's 1533-position model. The record is from RNAcentral.
CCUACGGGUGGCAGCAGUGGGGAAUAUUGCACAAUGGGGGAAACCCUGAUGCAGCGACGCCGCGUGGGUGAAGAAGGAUUUCGGUUUGUAAACUUCUUUCAGCAGGGAAGAAAAUGACGGUAUCUCAUGAAUAAGCACCGGCUAACUCCGUGCCAGCAGCCGCGGUAAUACGGAGGGGGCAAGCGUUAUCCGGAAUUACUGGGGGUAAAGGGUGCGUAGGCGGGAGUGUAAGUCAGGAGUGAAAUCCCGGGGCUUAACCCCAGAACUGCUUUUGAAACUAUGCAGCUAGAGUGUAGGAGAGGUAGGUGGAAUUCCUGGUGUAGGGGUGAAAUGCGUAGAUAUCAAGAGGAACACUCAUGGCGAAGGCGACCUACUGGAAUAUAACUGACGCUGAGGCUCGAAAGCGUGGGGAGCAAACAGGAUUAGAUACCCGAGUAGUC